Molecule: unclassified non-coding RNA, 193 nt
Filed under: uncultured Cortinarius
Lineage: Eukaryota; Fungi; Basidiomycota; Agaricomycetes; Agaricales; Cortinariaceae
Description: sequence contains ITS2
Source: RNAcentral
AUAUAUAUAUCAACCUUCUCUUUGAUGAGUGGCUUGGAUGUGGGGGCUUGCUGGUGGCCUCUUAGGAGGGUUCAGCUCCCCUGAAAUGCAUUAGCAGAACAAACCUGUUCAUUGGUGUGAUAACUAUCUACGCUAUUGAAUGUGAGGGGCAGUUCAGCUUUCUAACGGUCCUUUUGGGACAGAUUCAUCAUUA